GUGGGGAAUUUUGGACAAUGGGCGCAAGCCUGAUCCAGCAAUGCCGCGUGCAGGAAGAAGGCCUUCGGGUUGUAAACUGCUUUUGUACGGAACGAAACGGUCCGGGUUAAUACCCUGGGCUAAUGACGGUACCGUAAGAAUAAGCACCGGCUAACUACGUGCCAGCAGCCGCGGUAAUACGUAGGGUGCAAGCGUUAAUCGGAAUUACUGGGCGUAAAGCGUGCGCAGGCGGUUUUGUAAGACAGGCGUGAACUCCCCGGGCUCAACCUGGGAAUUGCGCUUGUGACUGCAAGGCUGGAGUGCGGCAGAGGGGGAUGGAAUUCCGCGUGUAGCAGUGAAAUGCGUAGAUAUGCGGAGGAACACCGAUGGCGAAGGCAAUCCCCUGGGCCUGCACUGACGCUCAUGCACGAAAGCGUGGGGAGCAAACAGGAUUAGAAACCCUAGUAGUCC
RNAcentral lists this ribosomal RNA (450 nucleotides) under uncultured bacterium. RNAcentral describes it as "partial 16S ribosomal RNA". It matches the Rfam family "Bacterial small subunit ribosomal RNA", at positions 354 to 796 of the family's 1533-position model. The record is from RNAcentral.